Molecule: long non-coding RNA, 1075 nt
Filed under: Ursus maritimus (polar bear)
Lineage: Eukaryota; Metazoa; Chordata; Mammalia; Carnivora; Ursidae
Description: lncRNA (ENSUMAG00000020719.1)
Source: RNAcentral
ACAGAUCGUGCCAGUGGGCAAUGCUGUCCCCUCCACUCAUCCCCACCCUAUGAGCUGACCCCACGUCAUACUCACAUUCCUUAACGAGGUCCUCGCACACUGUGGGGACUCCAGAAAUAUUUGUUGGAUGAAUUAAUGUGCUUUGUGAGUAUAGAGUCUGGGGGCUCAGUAAUUGAGGGAGGACAUUGGAGGAAGAUGUAUUUACUUUGUGGGUCUGACCCCACCCAACCCCUGGAGCUGGGAGGAUGAACUCAGAGGUAGGGAGACGGACAGUGUGACGUCCUGCGGUUCUGAGAUGCUUCAGAUCAGGCUCUGAGGGAAGGUGGGUCCCUGAAACUGGUUGAGUUAAUUGUAGGAAGCAAGUGUCAUGUGAUGUCAUCUCAGGAGUGCAAUUAAGGCUCGGUGGGUCGUGCUCCUGGAGAACCUGUGAAGAGUCACGACACUGGCUGCCGUAAUUAGAAGCACCAAGGAUGGGCAGGAUGUAGGACCUGGUGGUUGGGCCCCUGCUUGCACCAAUACCUCCUGCCUGAGCGCUGGGGAAUCUCUAGGACAAACCAUAGGCCAGCACUGUGGAUUUGGAGCAACCUUGUCCCAACAGCACAGGUGCUCCAGUGACACUUCUCGAGUUGCUUCCUGUCCCGGCCAGGGCCCAGCCGCCAUGACACACACGCCAGUGGAGGAAUCCCUCUUCCAAAUCAUCCGCUGCUACUGUCAGUACGCGGCCCGGGAGGGGGAUGUGGAGACCCUGUCCCUGGAGGAGUUGAAGGCUCUGCUUCUGGACAAUGUACCCCGCUUCAUGGAGAGCCUGGGCCGGAAGGAGCCCUACUACGUCUCGGAGCUGUUCCGGGCUGCAGACAAGAACAAGGACAACCAGAUCGGCUUCGAGGAGUUCCUGUUGGUGCUGGGGCAGGCGCUGANNNNNNNNNNNNNNNNNNNNNNNNNNNNNNNNNNNNNNNNNNNNNACCCGGCACAGCCUGCACUAGGGGGCCUCCGCCCGCACCUGCCCCCGCGCGGCUGCAGGGCUCUGGGCACACGCGUGUGCAACGCACAGCUGUGAGGGAAGAGAAUAAAGCAA